UACGGAGGGUGCGAGCGUUAACCGGAAUUACUGGGCGUAAAGGGUGCGUAGGUGGUUUGAUAAGUUAGCUGUGAAAUUCCUGGGCUCAACCUGGGGUGGUCAGCUAAGACUGUUGAACUGGAGUAUAGGAGAGGGUAGUGGAAUUUCCGGUGUAGCGGUGAAAUGCGUAGAGAUCGGAAGGAACACCAGUGGCGAAGGCGGCUACCUGGCCUGAUACUGACACUGAGGCACGAAAGCGUGGGGAGCAAACAGG
This 253-nucleotide ribosomal RNA is filed under the name uncultured bacterium. RNAcentral's name for it is "partial 16S ribosomal RNA". It matches the Rfam family "Bacterial small subunit ribosomal RNA", at positions 524 to 776 of the family's 1533-position model. The record is from RNAcentral.